AACCUUACCUGGCCUUGACAUACUAAGAACUUUCCAGAGAUGGAUUGGUGCCUUCGGGAACUUAGAUACAGGUGCUACAUGGCUGUCGUCAGCUCGUGUCGUGAGAUGUUGGGUUAAGUCCCGCAACGAGCGCAACCCUUUUCCUUAUUUGCCAGCGGGUUAAGCCGGGAACUUUAAGGAUACUGCCAGUGACAAACUGGAGGAAGGCGGGGACGACGUCAAGUCAUCAUGGCCCUUACGGCCAGGGCUACACACGUGCUACAAUGGUCGGUACAAAGGGUUGCUACCUCGCGAGAGGAUGCUAAUCUCAAAAAAGCCGAUCGUAGUCCGGAUCGCAGUCUGCAACUCGACUGCGUGAAGUCGGAAUCGCUAGUAAUCGCGGAUCAGAAUGCCGCGGUGAAUACGUUCCCGGGCCUUGUACACACCGCCCGUCACACCAUGGGAGUUUGUUGCACCAGAAGUAGGUAGUCUAACCGCAAGGAGGACGCUUACCACGGUGUGGCCGAUGACUGGGGUGAAGUCGUAACAAGGUAGGCGUAGAUGA
This 544-nucleotide ribosomal RNA is filed under the name uncultured bacterium. RNAcentral describes it as "bacterial SSU rRNA". It matches the Rfam family "Bacterial small subunit ribosomal RNA", at positions 967 to 1509 of the family's 1533-position model. The record is from RNAcentral.